GGGUGUUGUGCCUUUUUGACCUUUCCAAGGACACGUGACCUUCAACUAUUAUUGUCGGGCCCAACCACUACAAUUAUUUACAAAUUACGAGGGAAGACAACAACUUCCAUACCUCCAACACGUGACACUUGUCCCUUUACUUUUAUACGUGUCAUUAUCCCUACGCAUUCCCCCUCUCUUCCAUCUCUCUCAUUAAUUCCACACUACAUUCGCACUCGCAGUCACAAUCACGCUCCUAACCCUUCUAACAUCUUUUUUUUUUUUUUUUC
Molecule: long non-coding RNA, 269 nt
Filed under: Vigna radiata
Lineage: Eukaryota; Viridiplantae; Streptophyta; Magnoliopsida; Fabales; Fabaceae
Description: long non-coding RNA (VRAD_LNC003915)
Source: RNAcentral